UACGUAGGCAGCAAGCGUUGUUCGGAAUUACUGGGCGUAAAGAGUGUGUAGGCGGUGCUCUAAGUCUGUUGUGAAAUCUCCCGGCUUAACUGGGAGGGUGCAGCGGAAACUGGAAUGCUCGAGUAUGGGAGAGGUAAGCGGAAUUCCUGGUGUAGCGGUGAAAUGCGUAGAUAUCAGGAGGAACACCUGUGGUGUAGACAGCUUACUGGACCAUCACUGACGCUGAGACACGAAAGCGUGGGGAGCAAACAGG
Molecule: ribosomal RNA, 253 nt
Filed under: uncultured bacterium
Lineage: Bacteria
Description: partial 16S ribosomal RNA
Rfam family: Bacterial small subunit ribosomal RNA
Source: RNAcentral